UAUUACAUAUAUGUCGAUUAAUGACAUCAUUACAUUGUCUCUGCCAAUAAAAAGCUUAAAUUCCUAAUAAAAUAUAGUGAUUAAUUGAUUCAAAUUGGAUUAACGCAUUCAUUCGAAUGUGCCGUAAGAUAUCUUGAAAAUCUAGUGACAAAAAGUCCUUGCAGUAGUGCGUAGUUUAUAUCUGAUUUAGGGCUAAUUUCACCACCUUUGAUUAGAUUAGGUUAGACGAUAUCCAUUGAGAGAUCUGCUUUUUUGAAAAUGCAGUGUUCUCAUUGGAUAUUGUUUAUCGUUAUUCCCUUGUUCCUACCGUUAUCACCUCGCAUUAUGCAAGAGGUUUCCCAACAAUCGAAAAUAUAAAGAAAAGCCGAUCAAACACAUUUUCCAUAAUCGUAACCGUGACAUAAGGAUUCGAUCAAUCGCAUUGCUUAAUUUGGCUGUCGCGUUGUUAUGAAGAGCCGAAUUAAGCAAUGCGAUUGGUUUAAAUCAGUUUAUGGCCAUCUGAAUGGAUCGUACUAGCCAUCCAGUAUCAGAAACGAAGAAGGUAACAGAAAGAAAAAAAGGAAAAUUGUUUAUUUUAUGCGUCUCAAGGAUAUGUACCAAUAUUAUAUAUUAUGUACUGUUUUCUAGCUAUUAGACAUAUGAUGAGAUGAUUCACAGAUGCAUUAAUACAGAUCCAUUAAUUUUGAGUUGAACGCCUUCACAAAGCUUUCCUUGAAUCGUAUAGCAUCUGUAUUUCCAGAAAUGACUAUUGUGUGCUUGAUGAAACUGAAUUUAAUAUAGAAAAAUUCUUUCUUAUAAUAUAAGCUUCUAAUAGGUAAUCUAAUAAUCUCUUUAUAAUAAAUAAUGUUUACU
Long non-coding RNA from Cataglyphis hispanica, 852 nucleotides. RefSeq lists it as uncharacterized. Lineage: Eukaryota; Metazoa; Arthropoda; Insecta; Hymenoptera; Formicidae. The transcript is spliced from 2 exons. The record is from RefSeq and is a predicted model, not a curated record.